This is a long non-coding RNA of Oreochromis niloticus (Nile tilapia), 6760 nucleotides long. RefSeq lists it as uncharacterized. The record is from RefSeq and is a predicted model, not a curated record. The transcript is spliced from 6 exons. NCBI's taxonomy places the organism in Eukaryota, Metazoa, Chordata, Actinopteri, Cichliformes, Cichlidae.
GAUGUUCAGAACUGCAGAUCAUUGUCAUCGAAAAUACAAAGGCCUCUGUUGAAGAUUUUAUACUAUUGUACCGGAUGGAAUGAAACCAAAUUGACUCUACGACGAGCCUCCAGUAUGAGCUCUAUCCAAGUCUUGCUCUUCAUCUUCAUCACCACCAGCAUCUAGACUGCAGGGGUUCUGUCCUAAAUCUGAUGACCGCUGGGAUUCUGUGCUGCCAUGAUGGUUUAUUGGAGUCUAAAAUCCAAGUAUAUCAUUAUUUUUUUCAAAAUUUCUGUCUCAAUAGAUCACAUUCACUUCUUCCAAAUGAUCUCUCAUUAACGAGAGAUCAUUAAUGCACAAAUACCUGAUAAAUAAGUGAUGCGUUAAGGUUUAGAGAUGGGAAUUAGGCUUUAAAGAUCUAAAUCAUUUUUUUGUCCCAAAUUUUUUUUGUCCUGCUUGCAUUUUAACCCUUUCAUGCAUGAAUUAUGACAACCUCAAUCAGGAUUUUUUUCUUAAGUAUUUUUAUUCAUCUUCAGGCAUGAAAAAAGAUUUUUGAACUUCAUUUUUUUUAAACCAGUACUUUUCAAAGUUGUCCACUUAGAUGGACUACUGCUGUGUAUGGAGUGACACAUCAGUGUCCAAUGUAGUGGUUUAUGUGCAAGUGCAAGUAUACCAUCAACACUGACACAAAUACAAGAAAACAGCCUUUAAAUAGCUGUCCACUGCAGUGACCACUAUGCGUGAAAGGGUUAAAAUAGGAGUUUAUGGAGAUUGGCUCAUGUUUUGAGUCGGCCUCAAGUGGCCAUUUAAGGAACUUCAGUUUGGCCCUUCUUUGCUGGCUUAAUUUCUUUCAGCCCUGGAAGUUUCCACUUGGUUUAAUUGCACAGUUUGGAUGAAGAAAUCCAGACAGAGAAACUGAAAGUGGCUUUAAUGAUAACAAAUGAAGCUGAAGUGCAUAGUCGGUACUGAAGAUGAACCAGUACACAAGGGAGAUAAUUGGGGAAAUGAGAGGCAGGUGUGCAGGCAGCUGAUGAUGAGGUGACUGGGGAAAACCUAGGCUGGCUGGCCGGGCGGGGCGGAUUGUUGGAUAAUAGAUGUUACAGCAGCUGAUAUUACAUGCGGCAGAAAAAGUUGGAGAAUAACUGGGAAAAAAAAAAUCCAGUUGCAUUUCAUGGAAGCAGUGUAGAAACAUGAAUCAUGCACAAUAAGUGCGCGUACACACUGUAGCUUAUAUGUGCAGCGCAGGGUUGUUCUUCAAUACUGCAGCAUAUCAUCUUUUCUAAUCUGGGAUUGACUAAUCCUCCUUUGUUCCUGAUCCAGGCAAGGGGAGAGACAAACACCUGGUAACUGGGAAAAGAUUUCCUCAGCUGUGCUUAAGGUUUACAGAAUGGGUGGAAUAUGUUGAUCCUGCUUUCUCUGUGAAUGCAAGGUGGUGGUGGUGGACUCUUGGGACCAUGUGCACCACCAUCAUGUUUCUCUCUACUCUGGCUUUUGUACUGCGCCAGCAUUUCUUCAGCCGAAGUAAGACCUUUCCAAAAGGCUCACGGGAGAAGGAGUCACCAUCGGUGGAGAGCAAAGACACUGACAAGUGACAUUCACUUAAUGGACAUCCAGCUCAGCUUCCAGCAUGAAUGGUUUGAAUGUUCAGACUCAAUAGGAGCGUGCUGGAAAGGUGACACCUGCAUUAUUCUGCAAAACCCUCAUACCGCACCCUAGCCUCCUCUAAUGUUCACAGCCCAAAGCCAGCUGAAGCAUCUUCCAUUAUUUAGAAACGCUGCACUGAAAGGCAAUCUAGCAUUAAAAAAUGUGCAUUCUCUCAGCUUUUGUUGGACUGAUAAUGGGACCGUAACAAGGCAGCACUGUCUAUACUGCUACCUUAUAUCAUCCUAAAACAAUGACUACCACCCACAGUUUGGCUCUGUGCUAACAGAGAUCAGUUUCCAGACUCCAGUUACACUUUGAAAACUGUGUUGGCCCUUUGAGGAACUGGUUGUGGUCAGUGCUGUGACCCAGCACACUACGUGGAGGCGACAUCAUGGCUAAGAGAGGAGACAGCAGGGCAGCCGAUGCAUUGUUGCCAGGGCACUGGAGGGAUCUGAGAGAGUGGAGCAUAGAGAAGAGACAAAGCCACAGAAGCUGGGUUUUAGAUGUGGAAGCCGUGCUCAAGUCCAUGGAAAGACAGCUGAAUUCUGUUCUGGAGAAAUGUCCUCAGUCGAAAUGUGGAAACAGCCCAGUGGGUCCUCCAUCUCCUUUAAGCCACAGCAGGUCUCGCUCCAGUCAACAAGCUGAUCCGUAAAGUCAACUUUAGACGCUUUUCAACUUUCUGACAGCAAAACGAAUCCCAUAUUUUUGCCCCAAACAGUCACUUGGAGUAGACAGACUUUGAGCACCGCUUGUUGACGGUUUUCCUUUAUUCCAGCGACAUAGAGCCCACAGAAGUGUACGCUCUGUGCCACGAGCACCAAACCUGAUAUGAUUGGCAGCGUUGUUUGAGGUUUUUUUUGGCUUGCUAAAAUCCCUUGUGCAAUAAUCUCUCCUCUUAAGUAGUUGUUUGACAUUGCAGGGAGGAAAGCAAUUUCACACCCGGUUGUAUCAUUACUCAACUGUUCCAUAAGCGAUGAAAACCUGACGGUCUCUGGAAUGACUGAAAAACUUUGUGUCAUUACCGAGCUGCCAGACCAGAAAUAAACAAGUGUUUUCUGUGAUGUACAUGCACGGCCUGCUGCAUCUUUAUUUGAAGGGAAAUCCACACCCACACUCCAAGCAGCACAAAAAAAAUUAAAGCUCCCUGGCUUAUUCGUUUCUAUGAUUGAGCCUUUUGCUCUGCACGUGGAUUCCCAAGCAUGUCGAAUUACGACUAAAUCAUAUAGCGUGACAAUGGGGCCCCUAUGCACAGGAUCUUAGCAAUUAAUACUGUUUUUUCAUCUUUUUAUGGGCUGCAUCAUUUCCCUUGCCGACAAAUGAGAUCUUAUUUCCUGCCUGAUUACAUAAGUGAUUGGAUCCUUAUUGAUAUUAAGGUUGUGCGCUGCCCCAGAGAUACCAGUGUGCGUUUAAUGAUACGUUCCAGUGGGAGCGACAGACCACUAAGUUAUUUUCGAAAAGGGACUAAAACUGCCUCUGUUGCGGGAAUAUGGCCGACUGUUAUGCAUCUACUCUAUUAAGAACUCUAUUAUUGCGAAUAUCCCUGUUUGUCACUCUGACAACUAUGUACAACAAAUCCCUCCAGCUGAAGUAUUCCACUGGCAGAAGCCCGGGGAACUAAUGAGCCUAAUAUGUCCCCAGGAACGUCGCCUCUGCCAAGUGUGCACUCUAAAUCCUCCUGUGUAAUCAAGGCGGUGCAGGACAUAGAUAUCUGCAGAUAGUGGCAGUAGUACUUCCAUAUCUCACUGCUGCCUCCUGCCCUGAUGAGUCUGUCUGACUCAAAUUACUAGGUGAAAGCGGGGCUUUUGUGCACCCGGUAACGUGGAGUAGCUUGGGUAAUGACUAUGGUCUUCCUGAACACUCUGGUAGACCAUGGGAGUUAAUCUAAUGAAGGGGAGAGAGCCAUGGUUCAUAAUUGCCUGAGAGAGAUGCUGGAAGAAAGGUACACAUGGAAACUCAAACCUGUUUUUCCUGCGCGCUCCAAACUCAGACGCUGCUGCAAAAGCAGGAGAGGAAUCAAAGAAAAGAGAUGCUGAUGAUAGUCGUGCAUGUUAAGGACACAGAACAUUUAAACAUCAGAAAUGUUUAAUGCAUGUAGCUAUGCCAUGAUUUGAUGUAUUAUUUCAGCGUUGUUCAUCGGUGAGCUUUUACAUUUUACAAACACAGACACAAUCUGAUAGUGUUCUUUUAUUCUUCCUGAAAGAAAUUCUUGUACUUAAAAACAGCAGAGAAAUAAAAAAUGGUGUCCAACAGAUCAAUCAUUAGAUGGACAUUUAACUUCAGUGAGGUAAUAAAAACCAAAGAAAAGUUUUUCAGAGUCGUUCUGCACUCAUACUGUUUUAGCUGAUUUUGAAACCGGAUGUUACAGCCUGCUGCUGCAGACUCUUGGAGUUUGAGUUGAGGACCCAAACGCAGACAAAACAAGGCGUGGAAACAAACUUAAAUUUAGCCAAGUGUGAGCCGUUUAUUUAGGUUUUACACAAGGAUACAAAAUAAGGAAAAAACCAGAAUGUAACCCAAACCUGUAACCUAAACUGGGAAAACUACUAAGAACCUAGGAAACCUGGAGACACAAGGAGAGGUGCGCAGACAACCUGAUGAUGAACACAGAGAAACUCACACAAUAAAUGCACAUGAGGGUGAUGAGGGAAGUGGAAACACACGAGGAACGCAGCUGGGAUGAAUAGGCCUAAUGACACAAGAGGACGCAAAACUGAACACACUGAACAUAAGAUGAGAGACCGUCAAUAUAAAACAGGAAAUGCGCAGACUAAGACACACAGACUUGACACUGGGACCGGAAAGAACAGGAGAACAUGGAAACAGAGGGAGACAAAACACAAAGACAUGACUGGAACUCGGAGAGCGAGGGACACGGAGGGGAGGAAGGGAGUGAGAGGGCGACCAAGGGAUAAAGAAUGAGAGGGAGAUGAAGGGCUGGGGAGACAUGGCAUCAAACAUGGGAACAGAAAAGGGAGAGGUGACACGGAGGGAGACACAAACAUAACUUAUCGAACAUAUACAUGAACAUCAACAAGAAAACAUGCAUCAUAAUUCUAACUAAACUUACAACCUAAUCAGGUCUAAACUCUAUACUAACUGUAAACAGUAAAACUUAAACAUUUCCCCUAAUUAGCAAAAAGGGAUCAAAAAUACAAAAGACACUCAAAAUGCUGAGUCAAUGACCCAGCACCCUCACACGGGAGAGGUUAUAAAGACUGACGGUUGUGUUUUGUAUUCACGUCAGUCGUCCUGUUUCACUAAUUUGUGCCUCCUCCUGUGUGUGACCUGGAAAUCAAUCUCAGUACACCAUGUUGUUAGACGUGUCUCAGCUCCUAAAAAUACAUCUGCAGGGCAGAGCGGAGCGGCCGCUUCGCUAGAAGAGCGAUAACGGCAGAUACACAGAUGUAUCCUUUUAUAGAAGGAUUUUCUGUCGAUUACUGUUUCUAUGUAUUUUUAAUUUAAUUAAAAUUGUCCAUAAAUAUAAAAAAGACAUCCAGAGGUAGACUUACUGGUGUGUUACGGAUCAUUGUUCUGGCGCAUAACCUGAGUGAGCUUGAAGUUCAGGGCAUGAGCUGAUGGAGAGACGUCCUCCUUCAGGUCUUUCUGCUAGAGAGAAUUGAUGGUUCCAUCAAUUACAGUAAGUCGUCCUGAAGCAGCAAAGCAGCCCCAGACCAUCACAUUACCACCACCAUGUUUGACUGUUGGUCUUUGUUUUUUUUAUGAAAUGCUGUGUUAAUUUUAUGACACAUGUAACAACACUCAAAACAUCCAAAACGUUCAUCCUUUGUCUCAUCAGUCCACUGAAUAUUUUCUGAGAAGUCUUGAGGAUCAUCAAGAUUUUCUUAUCUUUCUCCCACCAAAUGUGUUCUUUUUGGUCAGUAGUAGUUUUCUCCUUGCAUCUCCCAUGGAUGCCAUUUUUGCCCAUUCUCAUUCUUACUGUUGAAUCAUGAACUUUGACCUUAACCAAGACAAGGAACAGAGUUCUUUAGACGUUGUUCUGGGUUCUUUAUGACCUCCCGGAUCAGUCGUUGGUCUCCUGUGAACAUUCAGCACUGUUCCAAGUUGUCUCCAUUUGUGGAUAAUGGCUCUCACUUCGGUUCAUUGGAGUCCCAAAGCCUUAAAAAUGUCUUCGUAACCCUUUUCAGAAUGACAGACGAUAGAUGUUUCUGUGGAUCAUGACAUGAUCUGUUCAUUUUUGAGAUCUUUUAGCCUGCUUCACUUUGUCAGACAGAUUUUUAUUUCGUGAUUCAACAGGCCUGGCAGUAAUCCGGCCUGGGAAUGGCCAGUAAAACUGAACUCAGACACAGAAAGAUGUGGUUAAUCACAGUUACAAUAUUAAUUUGCUUUUUCCACACAGGGUAAACUGGGUUUCGAUAGCUUUUUUUGUCUUAAAAAAAAUCAAAUCAGCAUUUAAAAACUGCAUUUUACAUUUACUCUGGUUAUUCUUAUCUAACAUAAAAAAUUUUGGAAGAUGUUAUAUGUGCAAGUGUGAAACAUUUUCCACAGUUUAAAGUGAGGUGAGGAGGUCUCAUUUUGUUAAAUACCCCUUUGCCUCACCUCCUCUGCUCUCGGACUGCAAUGUGAGGAGAGGAGUCAUGGAUGUGGAAAUGAGAAGGGGAGUGUGUCUAUGGCUAAUGUGUGGAGUGCAGCAGUUGAGAUGCAUUGUUCAUAAUGUCGAGUAGUUUCUUAAACAUCCUCCUCUUCACCACAAGGUCAGACAUCACAAAGAUGGACUUUCACAUCGAUUCAUCUGCUGCACAAAGAAGUUUAGUCUUAGACAUCUUAGGCAGGCCAACUUUAGACAUUUUUUUUCAAAUAACAAGAACAUGGCUGACUGACAGUAUCUAAACACCCAGCUCUGUUUGCUGUGGUUGAAAAUGUUUGUAUUUGGGAAGAAUUCAGCGGUUAUGAUGACGUUUUACUGGGAAACAAAUGCAGAGACAGAAAGCAGUAGCUGUGCAAACCCACAGCAGAGCCUGGAUGCUCUGGCUUCUUAACGUGACUUGUUAAUUUUUCAUGCGGGUGCUUACCUUCGGCAAACAUGGCUGAUGAUGACCUCACUGCUUUUCAUUUACAGUGGGUUCUCUAAAAACUGCAUCUCAUUGCUUCCUUAAUAAUAAAAAAACCCCUCAAAUUA